AGGCUGAAACCCGCCUCCAUGAAGUUGGAUUCGCUAGUAAUCGCGCAUCAGCCAUGGCGCGGUGAAUACGUUCCCGGGCCUUGUACACACCGCCCGUCAAGCCAUGGGAGCCGGGGUGCCUGAAGUUCGUGACCGCAAGGAGCGACCUAGGGCAAAACUGGUGACUGGGGCUAAGUCGUAACAAGGUAUC
RNAcentral lists this ribosomal RNA (190 nucleotides) under uncultured bacterium. Its description in RNAcentral is "partial 16S ribosomal RNA". It matches the Rfam family "Bacterial small subunit ribosomal RNA", at positions 1302 to 1500 of the family's 1533-position model. The record is from RNAcentral.